CUCUAAGWAKUUUKAUUCAUGCUCAGGACGAACGCGGCGGCGUGCCUAAUACAUGCAAGUCGAGCGGACAGAAGRGAGCUGCUCCYGGAUGCUAKCGGCGGACGGGUGAGUAACACGUGGRUAWCCUGCCUGUAAGACUGGGAUAACUCCGGGAAACCGGAGCUAAUACCGGAUAGWUCCUUGAWCCGCAUGGUUCAAGGAUGAAAGACGGUUUCGGCUGUCACUUACAGAUGGACCCGCGGCGCAUUAGMUAGUUGGUGGGGUAAUGGCUCACCAAGRCGACGAUGCGUAGCCGACCUGAGAGGGUGAUCGGCCACACUGGGWCUGAGACACGGCCCAGACUCCUACGGGAGGCAGCAGUAGGGAAUCUUCCGCAAUGGACGAAAGUCUGACGGAGCAACGCCGCGUGAGUGAUGAAGGUUUUCGGAUCGUAAAGCUCUGUUGUUAGGGAAGAACAAGUGCGAGAGUAACUGCUCGCACCUUGACGGUACCUAACCAGAAAGCCACGGCUAACUACGUGCCAGCASCCGCGGUAAUACGUAGGUGGCAAGCGUUGUCCGGAAUUAUUGGGCGUAAAGGGCUCGCAGGCGGUUUYUUAAGUCUGAUGUGAAAGCCCCCGGCUCAMCCGGGGAGGGUCAUUGGAAACUGGGAAACUUGAGUGCAGAAGAGGAGAGUGGAAUUCCACGUGUAGCGGUGAAAUGCGUAGAGAUGUGGAGGAACACCAGUGGCGAAGGCGACUCUCUGGUCUGUAACUGACGCUGAGGAGCGAAAGCGUGGGGAGCGAACAGGAUUAGAUACCCUGGUAKUSCACGCCGUAAACGAUGAGUGCUAAGUGUUAGGGGGUUUCCGCCCCUUAGUGCYGCAGCUAACGCAUUAAGCAYCCSCCC
This 887-nucleotide ribosomal RNA is filed under the name Bacillus pumilus. RNAcentral describes it as "partial 16S ribosomal RNA". Lineage: Bacteria; Bacillati; Bacillota; Bacilli; Caryophanales; Bacillaceae. The record is from RNAcentral.